Molecule: ribosomal RNA, 587 nt
Filed under: Escherichia coli
Lineage: Bacteria; Pseudomonadati; Pseudomonadota; Gammaproteobacteria; Enterobacterales; Enterobacteriaceae
Description: bacterial SSU rRNA
Rfam family: Bacterial small subunit ribosomal RNA
Source: RNAcentral
GAGCAUGUGGUUUAAUUCGAUGCAACGCGAAGAACCUUACCUGGUCUUGACAUCCACAGAACUUUCCAGAGAUGGAUUGGUGCCUUCGGGAACUGUGAGACAGGUGCUGCAUGGCUGUCGUCAGCUCGUGUUGUGAAAUGUUGGGUUAAGUCCCGCAACGAGCGCAACCCUUAUCCUUUGUUGCCAGCGGUCCGGCCGGGAACUCAAAGGAGACUGCCAGUGAUAAACUGGAGGAAGGUGGGGAUGACGUCAAGUCAUCAUGGCCCUUACGACCAGGGCUACACACGUGCUACAAUGGCGCAUACAAAGAGAAGCGACCUCGCGAGAGCAAGCGGACCUCAUAAAGUGCGUCGUAGUCCGGAUUGGAGUCUGCAACUCGACUCCAUGAAGUCGGAAUCGCUAGUAAUCGUGGAUCAGAAUGCCACGGUGAAUACGUUCCCGGGCCUUGUACACACCGCCCGUCACACCAUGGGAGUGGGUUGCAAAAGAAGUAGGUAGCUUAACCUUCGGGAGGGCGCUUACCACUUUGUGAUUCAUGACUGGGGUGAAGUCGUAACAAGGUAACCGUAGGGGAACCUGCGGUUGGA